RNAcentral lists this long non-coding RNA (481 nucleotides) under Vigna radiata. RNAcentral describes it as "long non-coding RNA (VRAD_LNC018151)". Lineage: Eukaryota; Viridiplantae; Streptophyta; Magnoliopsida; Fabales; Fabaceae. The record is from RNAcentral.
AAAACUCUAGAUUAAUUCACUUACAGACUCACUGUCAGAUUUACUAUUUGUAGGCAGUUUCUAAUACUUCUUGGGCUUCUAAUAGUUCACAUAUUACUUAACUAAUAUGUUCUAAGAGUCUAAUACAACCCCUGAAUCCUAAACCCCCAAUUCACUACUCUACUUCCUCAUUUUUGGUCUUGAACAUUAUAAUGGCAUCUGUUAUUGACUUAACUAGUUACUAGAAUUGAUAUUGCUAUUUCUAAGUACUCACUUGCCCAUCAUAUACCUAAUCAUACAAACCCCCAAUUGAUCACAUAUCAAACCACAAAAUCCCCAAUUCAGCAGCACACAAUCUAGUACAUACGUUCAUUAAUUUAGUCACACAAUACAACAUACCCAACUCAAUUCCACAUGCAUUCAAAUCAAAUAACUUUUCAUAUAACUAAUUCAUAUAAAUUAACAUUCGACAAUCAGAAAUUAAAAACAUCUAGCUCCCCUU